AAAAAAGUAGCUAAAAUGUGUUUAUAGCAGUCUGUGAAACUAACUGAAGCUCAAUUAUUACAAAGUAGAUAUUUUGUUUGUUUGUAGUUAAUCACAAAGCUACAC
Long non-coding RNA from Limulus polyphemus (Atlantic horseshoe crab), 105 nucleotides. RefSeq lists it as uncharacterized. The record is from RefSeq and is a predicted model, not a curated record. The transcript has 3 exons. NCBI's taxonomy places the organism in Eukaryota, Metazoa, Arthropoda, Merostomata, Xiphosura, Limulidae.